GACGAACGCUGGCGGCGUGCUUAACACAUGCAAGUCGAACGCUGAAGCUCAGCUUUUGUUGGGUGGAUGAGUGGCGAACGGGUGAGUAACACGUGAGUAACCUGCCUCCUUCUUUGGGAUAACGCCCGGAAACGGGUGCGAAUACUGGAUAUUCACUGGUCUUCGCAUGGGGGUUGGUGGAAAGGGUUUUUCUGGUGGGGGAUGGGCUCGCGGCCUAUCAGCUUGUUGGUGGGGUGAUGGCCUACCAAGGCUUUGACGGGUAGCCGGCCUGAGAGGGUGACCGGUCACAUUGGGACUGAGAUACGGCCCAGACUCCUACGGGAGGCAGCAGUGGGGAAUAUUGCACAAUGGGCGCAAGCCUGAUGCAGCGACGCCGCGUGAGGGAUGGAGGCCUUCGGGUUGUGAACUUCUUUCGCUCAUGGUCAAGCCGCAACAAUGGUUGUGGUGAGGGUAGUGGGUAAAGAAGCGCCGGCUAACUACGUG
RNAcentral lists this ribosomal RNA (483 nucleotides) under uncultured bacterium. RNAcentral's name for it is "partial 16S ribosomal RNA". It matches the Rfam family "Bacterial small subunit ribosomal RNA", at positions 28 to 507 of the family's 1533-position model. The record is from RNAcentral.